Molecule: ribosomal RNA, 762 nt
Filed under: Clostridium botulinum C/D
Lineage: Bacteria; Bacillati; Bacillota; Clostridia; Eubacteriales; Clostridiaceae
Description: partial 23S ribosomal RNA
Rfam family: Bacterial large subunit ribosomal RNA
Source: RNAcentral
UAACUUAGGGAGAAGGGGUGCCUACGAGAGUAGGCCGCAGUGAAUAGGCUCAAGCAACUGUUUAUCAAAAACACAGGUCUCUGCUAAAGCGUAAGCUGAUGUAUAGGGGCUGACGCCUGCCCGGUGCUGGAAGGUUAAGGGGAAUAGUUAGCGCAAGCGAAGCUAUGAACUUAAGCCCCAGUAAACGGCGGCCGUAACUAUAACGGUCCUAAGGUAGCGAAAUUCCUUGUCGGGUAAGUUCCGACCCGCACGAAUGGCGUAAUGAUUUGAGCACUGUCUCGGCAAUAAAUCCGGUGAAAUUGUAGUGCAAGUGAAGAUGCUUGCUACCCGCGGUUGGACGGAAAGACCCCGUAGAGCUUUACUGUAGCUUAGCAUUGAAUUUCGGUAUUGUCUGUACAGGAUAGGUGGGAGACUUAGAAGCGAGGGCGUCAGCUUUCGUGGAGUCGUCCUUGGGAUACCACCCUGACAGUACUGGAAUUCUAACUGGAGGCCAUGAAUCUGGUCACAGGACAUUGCUAGGGGGGCAGUUUGACUGGGGCGGUCGCCUCCUAAAAGGUAACGGAGGCGCCCAAAGGUUCCCUCAGCGCGGUCGGAAAUCGCGCGUAGAGUGCAAAGGCAGAAGGGAGCCUGACUGCGACACAUACAGGUGGAGCAGGGACGAAAGUCGGGCUUAGUGAUCCGGUGGUUCUGUAUGGAAGGGCCAUCGCUCAACGGAUAAAAGCUACCUCGGGGAUAACAGGCUGAUCUCCCCCAAGAGUCCAC